GUUUGACCAGAGUGUGUGAUCCUAUUUGUACAUCAUUCUCACAAUGUACUGGUAUACAGUUCUUAUCCUAACAGCAGCCUGCUGGGCAUUUUGCAAGGCCCAGCUCAGCCUGUCACAACCUCCCACAGAGUCUGUGUCUCUGGAACAAACAGUAAAACUGCCCUGCACCAUGAGUGGGGGCAGCAUCAGUGACAGGUAUGUGUACUGGUAUCAGCAGCGACCUGGGACUGCUCCAAGAUACCUUCUGAGAUAUAAAUCUGAUUCUAGCAAGCACCAAGGCACUGGGGUUCCAACACGGUUCUCUGGAUCUAAGGACAAUUCUCAGAACAUCUGCUAUUUAACCAUCUCUGGUGUCCAGGCAGAGGAUGAUGCAGAUUAUUACUGUAAAGUGUGGGACAGCAGUGCAGACGUACACAGUGAUACAGUUACAGGGGGAACUGAAACAGUAACUUUCUGCAUCACCACUUCUUUUUGCACAGCUGCACUCUACAUGGAGAUUUUUAUCAGAACAAAUAAAAUGUUAGCAUUCAAGUUACACUACAUAAUGAUAAAGAUUAAAGAAAUAUUUUGA
Protopterus annectens (West African lungfish) is the source of this 571-nucleotide non-coding RNA. The record is from the annotation of a RefSeq genome assembly. NCBI's taxonomy places the organism in Eukaryota, Metazoa, Chordata, Ceratodontiformes, Protopteridae.